AAGCGCCUCUCCAGCUGCCUCUCCUCCCAUUCCGUCAUCUGUCUCACCCAUAGAUCAGCCACAUCUGCAUUCAUGUCACCUGCUGACCAUCCCAUCUCCUUAAGUCAUGGUGGCCGAUAAGAAGAGAAAGCAUAAGUUAAAAUGUUAUGGAAGGAUCCCAUGUUUGUACCCCAGAUGUGCUUUCAGUUUCAGUGGAUGGAAAUUGCAAGUAUUACCAUUUAAAGAAUGCAGCAAGAUUGGAGGAACAGGCUAUAUUUCAGGACCUUUUCAUAGCCAAGGAUGAAAACGUAG
This is a non-coding RNA of Poecilia reticulata (guppy), 291 nucleotides long. The record is from RefSeq and is a predicted model, not a curated record. Lineage: Eukaryota; Metazoa; Chordata; Actinopteri; Cyprinodontiformes; Poeciliidae.